Molecule: ribosomal RNA, 525 nt
Filed under: Canis lupus familiaris (dog)
Lineage: Eukaryota; Metazoa; Chordata; Mammalia; Carnivora; Canidae
Description: partial large subunit ribosomal RNA
Rfam family: Bacterial large subunit ribosomal RNA
Source: RNAcentral
AGGCACUGCCUGCCCGGUGACACUUGUUUAACGGCCGCGGUAUCCUGACCGUGCAAAGGUAGCAUAAUCAUUUGUUCUCUAAAUAGGGACUUGUAUGAAUGGCCACACGAGGGUUUAACUGUCUCUUACUCCCAAUCAGUGAAAUUGACCUUCCCGUGAAGAGGCGGGAAUACCACAAUAAGACGAGAAGACCCUAUGGAGCUUUAAUUAACUAACCCAAACUUAUGGAUACUAGAUACCUACAAGGCAUAACAUAACACCAUUAUUAUGAGUUAGCAAUUUAGGUUGGGGUGACCUCGGAAUAUAAAAAAACUCCCGAGUGAUUAAAAUUUAGACCCACAAGUCAAAAUACAACAUCACUUAUUGAUCCAAUAAUUUUUGAUCAACGGAACAAGUUACCCUAGGGAUAACAGCGCAAUCCUAUUCAAGAGUCCAUAUCGACAAUAGGGUUUACGACCUCGAUGUUGGAUCAGGACAUCCUAAUGGUGCAGCAGCUAUUAAGGGUUCGUUUGUUCAACGAUUAAA